CCUACGGGAGGCUGCAGUCGAGAAUCAUUCACAAUGGGGGAAACCCUGAUGGUGCGACGCCGCGUGGGGGAAUGAAGGUCUUCGGAUUGUAAACCCCUGUCAUGUGGGAGCAAAUUAAAAAGAUAGUACCACAAGAGGACGAGACGGCUAACUCUGUGCCAGCAGCCGCGGUAAUACAGAGGUCUCAAGCGUUGUUCGGAAUCACUGGGCGAAAAGCGGGCGUAGGCGGUUUCGUAAGUCGUGUGUGAAAGGCGCGGGCUCAACCCGCGGACGGCACAUGAUACUGCGAGACUUGAGAAAGGGGGGGGGAACCGGAAUUCUCGGUGUAGCAGUGAAAGGCGUAGAUAUCGAGGGGAACACUCGUGGCGAAGGCGGGUGCCUGGACAUUAACUGACGCUGAGGCACGAAGGCCAGGGGAGCGAAAGGGAUUAGAUACCCUAGUAGU
RNAcentral lists this ribosomal RNA (445 nucleotides) under uncultured bacterium. Its description in RNAcentral is "partial 16S ribosomal RNA". It matches the Rfam family "Bacterial small subunit ribosomal RNA", at positions 338 to 794 of the family's 1533-position model. The record is from RNAcentral.